RNAcentral lists this ribosomal RNA (278 nucleotides) under uncultured eukaryote. RNAcentral describes it as "partial 18S ribosomal RNA". It matches the Rfam family "Eukaryotic small subunit ribosomal RNA", at positions 21 to 268 of the family's 1831-position model. The record is from RNAcentral.
UAGUCAUAUGCUUGUCUUAAAGAUUAAGCCAUGCACGUCUAAGGAUAAAUAUUUUUUAACCGUAAACCUGCGGAUGGCUCAUUAAAUCAGUUACAAUCUACUCUAUUGUAUAAAUUACUUGGAUAACCGUAGUAAUUCUAGAGCUAAUACAUGCAAAAAAUUUGAACUCGCAAGGGAACAAAUGUAUUUAUUAAGGAGCAAAAUCAAUACAGACCAUCCCAAACUCUAGAUUAUACUGAAAGGUAUUUUUUAGGGGGUUUGUAAAACAAAAUUGAAGA